Long non-coding RNA from Salarias fasciatus (jewelled blenny), 3725 nucleotides. Lineage: Eukaryota; Metazoa; Chordata; Actinopteri; Blenniiformes; Blenniidae. The record is from Ensembl.
AAGAAAAAAAGUGCAGGUCAGAAGAGUUUUGUGGAGCUUGAGGGUGGGUGGAAAUAAGACUCUCUUCACUUGCAUGCUAAAAAUGGCUCGUUUUUCUGUUUAUGUUUUGUUUCUAUUGAUCCUGAUUAUUGUCUCAUCAGAAUGCAGCGAUAUCCAAACUGUGACUGCGGAUGAUGCUGUUACUCUCUGUAGAUUUAAUUCAAGUGAAAUCGAUACAGGAGGCAGAGUCAAGGUGGCAAAUUACACCUCAGACAAAAAAGCCAUGGUCAUCUUUGAGUGGCCCAAACAGGCUCAACAAGCUAAACGAUUGUCAUGGAAGCCUGAUGGAAAUGGACUGAUGUGUCUUCAUCUGAAAAACGUACAAAAAUCUGAUGAAGGGACGUACAGCUGUGAAAUGUGGCGAGGAUGGGAUCGUGUCCGGGUGACAAACAUGACUCUGAAAGUAAAAGAUUGCAAAAGCCUUUCUGCAGUGAAAGCAAAACUAGACUCAUCCUUCAGGCUGCAGUGCUCUGUGGACAUCACACCAGAGAAGCAAAGACCACAAAAUGUCUCCUGGGCAAAGCUGAAAGGACGUCACCAUGAACCUGUUGACUCUCGGAGGGUUGGACCAGACAACACAUUGAUAUUCCAGACUGUGAGUUACAGUGACAGUGGCUGGUAUCGGUGUAAUUACGUUCUUGGAACAACUAAGCGCUGCGUUGACGUCCGUCUAAAUGUCCAAGAAGCAGAUGACACCUCUGAAGAUAAAACAGCCACGAUCAUCCCAAACACCCCAACAGACACUCAGCAAGGAUCACACCAGGAAGCUGAGCACAGUGCGACUGUGAUCGCAGUGGUACUCUCUGUUGCUUUUGGGUUGACGAUUGCUACCGUAUUUGGAGUGUUCUUUUACCGCAGACAACAAAGGAGGAAAGUAACGGCACAGCGUCAGACUGCAGGGAGACAUAUGGAGACUGUGGACAUCUAUAUACCUUUGACUCCGCCACAAUCACGGGAUCCUGCAAACUAUCGCGUCAGCAGUCUUUAUGAGGAUGAAGAGAUGAAUACCUUUUACUAUUAGAUGUUCUAUCCCGCCUCUGGAAAAAGAAGAUCCUCGUUGCACAGAGUCAGUUUGUGUAACAUGCAGCAUGUCUCUUAGGAGUCUUGUAUUAUUGCAUGUAAUCAUCUGAAUUGGACGAAUGAAAUGUUUGUCAUAUCAUUUCUGAAAAAUGUUGAUCAUAAUAAGGGAAGUUGUAAAUGUCAGUCAACAAAUAUUUCUUCUUGUUACAAGAGGAUUUGCUAUUUCAAGCAGAGGUCUACAAAACCCUAGUUAUUUCCAUUUAGUUCACAGGCUGUAAUAGAUGAUAGAAAUCAUCUGUGGCUUGGCCUGCUUCUUGUCUUUGUCUUGACUGCUGUUGUUCCUCAUCAUUGUCUUGGAUCACAUCGUAGACAUGAGUCUUGAAAAGGAUAAUAGAAAUGUUAGUACAUUGAGAUUUGCCACAAGUACAAGUUCAGCCUUCAUACUGAAUAUUUAGUCUGUAGUGUUUACUGUUAAUUUGUCUAUUCCAGCCUCUUUGUUCAUGCUAUCUUUGAUUUAUUCAUGAGAGAAAUUUUUAAAAUGAUUAAUGUUGUAUAUGUGUGAAAAUUCAAUGACGUUAGCAUGAUAGGAACAACAGUAUGAGAAAUAUAACAUGUUGAUGUAAAGAAAUAAAACAGAACUACAUUAUUGCAAUAUUUUGUUGUUGAAGAAUUUCAUCUUACCAUUCCAAUACUUGGUGAGUCCUUUGCUGUGAACAGAAAUACAUGACAUUUCCACUUUCAUCCAGGUUUUCAAAUCAUUUUUGCACCAUAGUGACAAUACAUAGGCGUCAGCUGUACCCAGCUCCACUACCUGCAGCCUUCUUGCGCCUCCUCUUCAUGCAUAUGUAGAUUCCUCCUGCUGCAGCACAUAUCAGGAGGCCCACUGGAAGUGCUAACCAUGCUGGAGUCUGAAGAGCUGAGAACAGUAAAGGAAUUAUUCUUCCCUUUAAUGACAAGGUAAACUAAACUAAGGCUAUUUCCUAUACUUUCUGUCAAUAGCAAUAAUAAUAAUGUCCCAGAUUGUUAAUACAUACUUACAGUUAACCUCCUGCCACUCCUUGGAUGCCAUCAGCGCUCCCUCUCUGUACGCAGAGCACAUCAUUUCAUCUCCCACUGAUCCGACAGGGAGAAACAACGUCCUCACUAAGGUGUUGUUGACAGCUAUUAAUUCGCUCUGCUGGCCUCUGUGGUUCCUUUUAGACCACGUUAAAUUGAAAUCUUUUUCACAUUGUGUAGCACAUGUUAGCACACACAUCAGGGUGAGAUUAUCUCCUCCGGGUCCAGAUGCUGCAACCACUGUGUAGACAAUAAAGCAUUCAAUCACCUUUGAGGUCAGAUGUUGUGUGAGUAUACAUGUCCCUUACAGACAUUUACAGAGUUUUCUCUUCUCACCAUCAAGAGUGUGCAGCCUGAUUCUGUCGAGCGCCCUGUGCUGACCCCCGGACUCGGAGCAUUGGUACUGUCCAGCAUGGACAGCUUUCAGUUUACUAAUGACCAGUGAUGAAUCCUUCAUCUCAUGAGAUGUCCUUAUUUGGCCACAGUCAGGUGAGUUCCGAUCAGUCAGAGGGUUUUCACACACAGUCCACUCCACACUGACUUCCACAUCCAGAGAGGAAGUGUUACAAGACAGCGAAACGGACUGACCCACUGCAGCAACCACUUCCUCCAGGCCAUCUAGGGGAAGAUGAGUUCGUGGCAAAUUCAAACAGCAUAAACCACAGCUCUCACUUGGAGCGAAAUAGCAGCGUGAAGUACCUUUUACUGUUGUUGUGUAACUGGUGACUGUGAGCACAUGAUCGUGAGUGAGAUGACAUUUCCAUUUCCUGCGAUGGUCAGUUGGUUUUUUAGCGAUGAUCAGUUUGGAGAAGCAGUGAGAUGGAUAGUCAAACCUGAAUCUGUCUCCAUUUAGUGGUGAGCCAUCCUCAGAGCUCCACCUGAUAUGUACUCCCGUGCUGUUGUCACAGGCCUCAUAUCCUUUGUAACUGCUGAGGAAACAGUGGAGCUCUAUUGUUCCCGUUGCAGGGUCAGCCUUCUCAGUUACUGUGAAAAAAGACAGAAUAGCAGCAACAUUUUCAUUAAAAAAUGCUUUCACUCAGGAAUGUUAAACAGUUUGAUUAUUAGUUUUCUGAUAACUUCUGCAUUGUGAAAGGUCAUAUAGGAACCCUUUCAGAGUAUGCAUUUCUGUUUCCACUUCCAUGUUUAAACAGAGCAAAACCUACCCUGAAGAAUCUUAAGUGAAACACUUGAAUUGAUCUUUCCACUGUCACAAGUGUAAAGCUGUGCGUCACUCAGCAGCAGGCCAGCAAUCUGCAGGGAGCAGUUCCUCAUCAGUUUAUGUCUGUGAACAGUUUUAGUCACCGCUCCAGCCUUCACCACCUCAAACCUCUCAAACUUCCCUCCCAUGUUCCAGUUAAUCGAGGAGCAGGAUUGAAUAGGAGAUGUGCCACAUGGUAAAAUGACAGUCUCUCCUUCUAAGGCAACCACCAGCAAAGGAUCUGCCAAGAAAAACAAGGCGUGGAUUUAUUCGCCAGUCGGCUCAAAUAUUAAAAGUUAUUAUAUUUAUAACAGAAUAGCAAGUUGUUGACCCACCAUGGAAAUUUCCCUCAGCAGGGAAACUAACUUAUUUAGACAUAACUUCAAUUACAUGUUGCAUUUGUCUCUUUGAG